AUACUCUAAGCUCAGGACCAAAGUCCUGGUCUCACAACAGGAAAGUUUUGUAACUGAAACAAAGAAAGUGCAAGAGCCCUGUGAUCGGAAGGCUCUGUCAUCAGCAUCGACGAUUUUUCUGUGUGUAGAUAUUGUGUCAACUUGUUCGUCUGACUUUGCGUCUGUUGAACAAGAGGCUUAACACUUCGGGGGUGGUGUGCUUCCAGGUGUGGUUCAAGAACCGGCGGGCGAAGUGCCGGCAGCAAGUGAAGCAGCAUCAGCAGCAGCACAACGGAAGCGGAGGCGGGGGUGGCGAGAAGACGUCGAGUCGCCACGGGAGCAAGAGCAAGAGCGCCUCGGGCAACAGCACCUCCAACGCCAACGCGGUGUCCUCCAAGGCCGGCACCGGGGGCACCGGGGGAGCCGGACACCCGACGAGCACGGCCCCCCCCCCGCGGCGGCCCCUCCCUCUCCUUCAACACCAACACCACCAGCUCCUCGGCCAGCUCGCCCCUCGUCCCCUCCACGCCCCACCACCGGGGGGUCGACUCCCCCGCCACCCCCACCCACUCGCCCUACAUCAAACCUCUGCUCAGUGCCACGCCGCCCAUACCCUCCGUUUACACCUCAGUUGCAAAUGCAUCAAUAUGGAGUCCUGCAAUUUUAGAUUCUUGUAUAGAUAGAUCACCAUCGGGAUCUGGAUACAGUGGUGGGUCCACCAACACCGUCAAUAGUGCUGUCACCACUUAUCCUAACUCCCAUCAUCACGCUCAUCAAAAUUAUAAUUCAUAUUACUCAAAUACCGACUACUUGGGCUCUUCAGGGGUCAUGGCACACUCUCAGCUGUCUAGUGAAAACGGUUUGGACUCAUCAUGGGUGAAGAGAGAAGAUUCCUCGUGGUUUUACAAUUCCUCCAGCUGGGAGAGGAAGUGAGAUCAUACUAGAUAAUAUUUCUUGACUGCAGUCAUUUUAUCGUGCUUGUUGUG
RNAcentral lists this long non-coding RNA (965 nucleotides) under Bemisia tabaci. Its description in RNAcentral is "lncRNA ENSSWEETPG009792". Lineage: Eukaryota; Metazoa; Arthropoda; Insecta; Hemiptera; Aleyrodidae. The record is from RNAcentral.